AUUACACUUAAAGGAGGUCGGACUGAAAGCAAGGCUGCUUACAGAGAAGCCAGGGUCGUUUAAUAUAUAUUAAAGAAUAACUGAAAUUGUUCCUACUCCUCCCCUGCAGUCUGAGGAAAGUGGGAAAGGCUGCCAGCAGCCUCACUGCUGCCAGUGCUGUGCACACCUGGCUCACCAUCAGCAAGCUCCGUAGGGGCAGGAGG
This is a non-coding RNA of Lonchura striata (white-rumped munia), 203 nucleotides long. The record is from RefSeq and is a predicted model, not a curated record. Lineage: Eukaryota; Metazoa; Chordata; Aves; Passeriformes; Estrildidae.